GACGGAGGAUGCAAGCGUUAUCCGGAAUGAUUGGGCGUAAAGCGUCCGCAGGUGGCAGUUCAAGUCUGCUGUCAAAGCCCGGGGCUCAACCUCGGAAAGGCAGUGGAAACUACCAAGCUGGAGUACGGUAGGGGCAGAGGGAAUUUCCGGUGGAGCGGUGAAAUGCGUAGAGAUCGGAAAGAACACCAACGGCGAAGGCACUCUGCUGGGCCAACACUGACACUGAGAGACGAAAGCUAGGGGAGCAAAUGGG
This 253-nucleotide ribosomal RNA is filed under the name uncultured bacterium. Its description in RNAcentral is "partial 16S ribosomal RNA". It matches the Rfam family "Bacterial small subunit ribosomal RNA", at positions 524 to 776 of the family's 1533-position model. The record is from RNAcentral.